RNAcentral lists this ribosomal RNA (510 nucleotides) under uncultured Acidobacteriota bacterium. Its description in RNAcentral is "bacterial SSU rRNA". It matches the Rfam family "Bacterial small subunit ribosomal RNA", at positions 355 to 857 of the family's 1533-position model. Lineage: Bacteria; Pseudomonadati; Acidobacteriota. The record is from RNAcentral.
UGGGGAAUUGUUCACAAUGGGCGCAAGCCUGAUGACGCAAUGCCGCGUGGAGGAUGAAGGUCUUCGGAUUGUAAACUCCUGUUGCCAGGGACGAAUGGCUCCGACCUAACACGUCGGAGAAUGACGGUACCUGGUGAGGAAGCCCCGGCUAACUCUGUGCCAGCAGCCGCGGUAAUACAGAGGGGGCAAGCGUUGUUCGGAAUUACUGGGCGUAAAGGGCGCGUAGGCGGCCUUCUAAGUCGAACGUGAAAUCCCCGGGCUCAACCCGGGAACUGCGUCCGAUACUGGGAGGCUUGAAUCCGGGAGAGGGAUGUGGAAUUCCAGGUGUAGCGGUGAAAUGCGUAGAUAUCUGGAGGAACACCGGUGGCGAAGGCGGCAUCCUGGACCGGUAUUGACGCUGAGGCGCGAAAGCCAGGGGAGCAAACGGGAUUAGAUACCCCGGUAGUCCUGGCCCUAAACGAUGAAUGCUUGGUGUGGCGGGUAUCGAUCCCUGCCGUGCCGAAGCUAACG